This 281-nucleotide unclassified non-coding RNA is filed under the name plant metagenome. RNAcentral describes it as "partial contains small subunit ribosomal RNA, internal transcribed spacer 1, and 5.8S ribosomal RNA". The record is from RNAcentral.
UUUCCGUAGGUGAACCUGCGGAAGGAUCAUUAUUGUAUAACCGAGGUGCGAGGGCUGUCGCUGACCCGAAAGGUCGUGCACGCCCGAGUGCCCUCACACACAUCCAUCUCACCCCUAUGUGCACCACCGCGUGGGUCCCCCUUUGGCUUGUUCGGAGGGGGGCUUACGUUUUCACACAAACUUUGUAUGCAGUGUAGAAUGUAUUUUUUGUUUUUGCGAUCACGCAAUCAAUACAACUUUCAACAACGGAUCUCUUGGCUCUCGCAUCGAUGAAGACGCAC